AGCGUACACGGUGGAUGCCCUGGCAGUCAGAGGCGAUGAAGGACGUGCUAAUCUGCGAUAAGCGUCGGUGAGGUGAUAUGAACCGUUAUAACCGGCGAUUUCCGAAUGGGGAAACCCAGUGUGUUUCGACACACUAUCAUUAACUGAAUCCAUAGGUUAAUGAGGCGAACCGGGGGAACUGAAACAUCUAAGUACCCCGAGGAAAAGAAAUCAACCGAGAUUCCCCCAGUAGCGGCGAGCGAACGGGGAGGAGCCCAGAGCCUGAAUCAGUGUGUGUGUUAGUGGAAGCGUCUGGAAAGGCGCGCGAUACAGGGUGACAGCCCCGUACACAAAAAUGCACAUACUGUGAGCUCGAUGAGUAGGGCGGGACACGUGAUAUCCUGUCUGAAUAUGGGGGGACCAUCCUCCAAGGCUAAAUACUCCUGACUGACCGAUAGUGAACCAGUACCGUGAGGGAAAGGCGAAAAGAACCCCGGCGAGGGGAGUGAAAAAGAACCUGAAACCGUGUACGUACAAGCAGUGGGAGCCUCUUAAUGGGGUGACUGCGUACCUUUUGUAUAAUGGGUCAGCGACUUAUAUUCUGUAGCAAGGUUAACCGAAUAGGGGAGCCGAAGGGAAACCGAGUCUUAACUGGGCGUUAAGUUGCAGGGUAUAGACCCGAAACCCGGUGAUCUAGCCAUGGGCAGGUUGAAGGUUGGGUAACACUAACUGGAGGACCGAACCGACUAAUGUUGAAAAAUUAGCGGAUGACUUGUGGCUGGGGGUGAAAGGCCAAUCAAACCGGGAGAUAGCUGGUUCUCCCCGAAAGCUAUUUAGGUAGCGCCUCGUGAAUUCAUCUCCGGGGGUAGAGCACUGUUUCGGCAAGGGGGUCAUCCCGACUUACCAACCCGAUGCAAACUGCGAAUACCGGAGAAUGUUAUCACGGGAGACACACGGCGGGUGCUAACGUCCGUCGUGAAGAGGGAAACAACCCAGACCGCCAGCUAAGGUCCCAAAGUCAUGGUUAAGUGGGAAACGAUGUGGGAAGGCCCAGACAGCCAGGAUGUUGGCUUAGAAGCAGCCAUCAUUUAAAGAAAGCGUAAUAGCUCACUGGUCGAGUCGGCCUGCGCGGAAGAUGUAACGGGGCUAAACCAUGCACCGAAGCUGCGGCAGCGACACUGUGUGUUGUUGGGUAGGGGAGCGUUCUGUAAGCCUGCGAAGGUGUGCUGUGAGGCAUGCUGGAGGUAUCAGAAGUGCGAAUGCUGACAUAAGUAACGAUAAAGCGGGUGAAAAGCCCGCUCGCCGGAAGACCAAGGGUUCCUGUCCAACGUUAAUCGGGGCAGGGUGAGUCGACCCCUAAGGCGAGGCCGAAAGGCGUAGUCGAUGGGAAACAGGUUAAUAUUCCUGUACUUGGUGUUACUGCGAAGGGGGGACGGAGAAGGCUAUGUUGGCCGGGCGACGGUUGUCCCGGUUUAAGCGUGUAGGCUGGUUUUCCAGGCAAAUCCGGAAAACCAAGGCUGAGGCGUGAUGACGAGGCACUACGGUGCUGAAGCGACAAAUGCCCUGCUUCCAGGAAAAGCCUCUAAGCAUCAGGUAACAUCAAAUCGUACCCCAAACCGACACAGGUGGUCAGGUAGAGAAUACCAAGGCGCUUGAGAGAACUCGGGUGAAGGAACUAGGCAAAAUGGUGCCGUAACUUCGGGAGAAGGCACGCUGAUAUGUAGGUGAAGCGACUUGCUCGUGGAGCUGAAAUCAGUCGAAGAUACCAGCUGGCUGCAACUGUUUAUUAAAAACACAGCACUGUGCAAACACGAAAGUGGACGUAUACGGUGUGACGCCUGCCCGGUGCCGGAAGGUUAAUUGAUGGGGUUAGCGGCAACGCGAAGCUCUUGAUCGAAGCCCCGGUAAACGGCGGCCGUAACUAUAACGGUCCUAAGGUAGCGAAAUUCCUUGUCGGGUAAGUUCCGACCUGCACGAAUGGCGUAAUGAUGGCCAGGCUGUCUCCACCCGAGACUCAGUGAAAUUGAACUCGCUGUGAAGAUGCAGUGUACCCGCGGCAAGACGGAAAGACCCCGUGAACCUUUACUAUAGCUUGACACUGAACAUUGAGCCUUGAUGUGUAGGAUAGGUGGGAGGCUUUGAAGUGUGGACGCCAGUCUGCAUGGAGCCGACCUUGAAAUACCACCCUUUAAUGUUUGAUGUUCUAACGUUGUCCCCUAAUCGGGGU
Molecule: ribosomal RNA, 2206 nt
Filed under: Escherichia coli
Lineage: Bacteria; Pseudomonadati; Pseudomonadota; Gammaproteobacteria; Enterobacterales; Enterobacteriaceae
Description: bacterial LSU rRNA
Rfam family: Bacterial large subunit ribosomal RNA
Source: RNAcentral